This 497-nucleotide ribosomal RNA is filed under the name uncultured bacterium. RNAcentral's name for it is "partial 16S ribosomal RNA". It matches the Rfam family "Bacterial small subunit ribosomal RNA", at positions 28 to 507 of the family's 1533-position model. The record is from RNAcentral.
GAUGAACGCUGGCGGCGUGCCUAAUACAUGCAAGUCGAGCGAACGGACGAGAAGCUUGCUUCUCUGAUGUUAGCGGCGGACGGGUGAGUAACACGUGGAUAGCCUACCUAUAAGACUGGGAUAACUUCGGGAAACCGGAGCUAAUACCGGAUAAUAUUUUGAACCGCAUGGUUCAAAAGUGAAAGACGGUCUUGCUGUCACUUAUAGAUGGAUCCGCGCUGCAUUAGCUAGUUGGUAAGGUAACGGCUUACCAAGGCAACGAUGCAUAGCCGACCUGAGAGGGUGAUCGGCCACACUGGAACUGAGACACGGUCCAGACUCCUACGGGAGGCGGCAGUAGGGAAUCUUCCGCAAUGGGCGAAAGCCUGACGGAGCAACGCCGCGUGAGUGAUGAAGGUCUUCGGAUCGUAAAACUCUGUUAUUAGGGAAGAACAUAUGUGUAAGUAACUGUGCACAUCUUGACGGUACCUAAUCAGAAAGCCACGGCUAACUACGUG